GCGCCAAUAGCUCAGUUGGUAGAGCGGCUGACUCUUAAUCAGCGGGUCGGGGGUUCGAUCCCCUCUUGGCGCACCA
Molecule: transfer RNA, 76 nt
Filed under: Gemmatimonadota bacterium
Lineage: Bacteria; Pseudomonadati; Gemmatimonadota
Description: Gemmatimonadetes bacterium (marine metagenome) tRNA-Lys
Rfam family: tRNA
About the family: Transfer RNA (tRNA) molecules are approximately 80 nucleotides in length.
Source: RNAcentral